GACGAACGCUGGCGGCGUGCUUAACACAUGCAAGUCGAACGGAAAGGCCCUGCUUUUGUGGGGUGCUCGAGUGGCGAACGGGUGAGUAACACGUGAGUAACCUGCCCUUGACUUUGGGAUAACUUCAGGAAACUGGGGCUAAUACCGGAUAGGAGCUCCUGCUGCAUGGUGGGGGUUGGAAAGUUUCGGCGGUUGGGGAUGGACUCGCGGCUUAUCAGCUUGUUGGUGGGGUAGUGGCUUACCAAGGCUUUGACGGGUAGCCGGCCUGAGAGGGUGACCGGCCACAUUGGGACUGAGAUACGGCCCAGGCUCCUACGGGAGGCAGCAGUGGGGAAUAUUGCACAAUGGGCGGAAGCCUGAUGCAGCAACGCCGCGUGCGGGAUGACGGCCUUCGGGUUGUAAGCCGCUUUCGCCUGUGACGAAGCGUGAGUGACGGUAAUGGGUAAAGAAGCACCGGCUAACUACGUGCCAGCAGCCGCGGUGAUACGUAGGGUGCGAGCGUUGUCCGGAUUUAUUGGGCGUAAAGGGCUCGUAGGUGGUUGAUCGCGUCGGAAGUGUAAUCUUGGGGCUUAACCCUGAGCGUGCUUUCGAUACGGGUUGACUUGAGGAAGGUAGGGGAGAAUGGAAUUCCUGGUGGAGCGGUGGAAUGCGCAGAUAUCAGGAGGAACACCAGUGGCGAAGGCGGUUCUCUGGGCCUUUCCUGACGCUGAGGAGCGAAAGCGUGGGGAGCGAACAGGCUUAGAUACCCUGGUAGUCCACGCUGUAAACGGUGGGUACUAGGUGUGGGGUCCAUUCCACGGGUUCCGUGCCGUAGCUAACGCUUUAAGUACCCCGCCUGGGGAGUACGGCCGCAAGGCUAAAACUCAAAGGAAUUGACGGGGCCCCGCACAAGCGGCGGAGCAUGCGGAUUAAUUCGAUGCAACGCGUAGAACCUUACCUGGGUUUGACAUGGAUCGGGAGUGCUCAGAGAUGGGUGUGCCUCUUUUGGGGUCGGUUCACAGGUGGUGCAUGGCUGUCGUCAGCUCGUGUCGUGAGAUGUUGGGUUAAGUCCCGCAACGAGCGCAACCCUUGUUCACUGUUGCCAGCACGUUAUGGUGGGGACUCAGUGGAGACCGCCGGGGUCAACUCGGAGGAAGGUGGGGAUGACGUCAAGUCAUCAUGCCCCUUAUGUCCAGGGCUUCACGCAUGCUACAAUGGCUGGUACAGAGAGUGGCGAGCCUGUGAGGGUGAGCGAAUCUCGGAAAGCCGGUCUCAGUUCGGAUUGGGGUCUGCAACUCGACCUCAUGAAGUCGGAGUCGCUAGUAAUCGCAGAUCAGCAACGCUGCGGUGAAUACGUUCCCGGG
This 1343-nucleotide ribosomal RNA is filed under the name uncultured bacterium. RNAcentral describes it as "16S ribosomal RNA". It matches the Rfam family "Bacterial small subunit ribosomal RNA", at positions 28 to 1378 of the family's 1533-position model. The record is from RNAcentral.